This 496-nucleotide ribosomal RNA is filed under the name uncultured bacterium. RNAcentral's name for it is "partial 16S ribosomal RNA". It matches the Rfam family "Bacterial small subunit ribosomal RNA", at positions 28 to 506 of the family's 1533-position model. The record is from RNAcentral.
GACGAACGCUGGCGGCGUGCCUAAUACAUGCAAGUUGAGCGAUGAAGAUUGGUGCUUGCACCAAUUUGAAGAGCAGCGAACGGGUGAGUAACGCGUGGGGAAUCUGCCUUUGAGCGGGGGACAACAUUUGGAAACGAAUGCUAAUACCGCAUAACAACUUUAAACAUAAGUUUUAAGUUUGAAAGAUGCAAUUGCAUCACUCAAAGAUGAUCCCGCGUUGUAUUAGCUAGUUGGUGAGGUAAAGGCUCACCAAGGCGAUGAUACAUAGCCGACCUGAGAGGGUGAUCGGCCACAUUGGGACUGAGACACGGCCCAAACUCCUACGGGAGGCAGCAGUAGGGAAUCUUCGGCAAAGGACGAAAGUCUGACCGAGCAACGCCGCGUGAGUGAAGAAGGUUUUCGGAUCGUAAAACUCUGUUGGUAGAGAAGAACGUUGGUGAGAGUGGAAAGCUCAUCAAGUGACGGUAACGACCCAGAAAGGGACGGCUAACUACGU